GAUGAACGCUGGCGGCGUGCCUAAUACAUGCAAGUCGAGCGAACGGACGAGAAGCUUGCUUCUCUGAUGUUAGCGGCGGACGGGUGAGUAACACGUGGAUAACCUACCUAUAAGACUGGGAUAACUUCGGGAAACCGUAGCUAAUACCGGAUAAUAUUUUGAACCGCAUGGUUCAAAAGUGAAAGACGGUCUUGCUGUCACUUAUAGAUGGAUCCGCGCUGCAUUAGCUAGUUGGUAAGGUAACGGCUUACCAAGGCAACGAUGCAUAGCCGACCUGAGAGGGUGAUGGGCCACACUGGAACUGAGACACGGUCAAGACUCCGACGGGAAGCAGCAGUAGGGGAACGUAAGAAAUGGGCGAAAGCCUGACGGAGCAACGCCGCGUGAGUGAUGAGGAACAUCGGAUCGUAAAACGCUGUUAUUAGGGAAGAACAGAUAAGUAAGUAACGGUGCAGAACUUGACGGUACCUAAACAGAAAGCCACGGCUAACUACGUG
Molecule: ribosomal RNA, 497 nt
Filed under: uncultured bacterium
Lineage: Bacteria
Description: partial 16S ribosomal RNA
Rfam family: Bacterial small subunit ribosomal RNA
Source: RNAcentral